Long non-coding RNA from Arabidopsis thaliana (thale cress), 298 nucleotides. RefSeq annotates it as other RNA. NCBI's taxonomy places the organism in Eukaryota, Viridiplantae, Streptophyta, Magnoliopsida, Brassicales, Brassicaceae. The record is from RefSeq. The transcript is spliced from 2 exons.
GGGAGGAUUUUACAGAGACUCCUUCUUCAUGCUUCAGAGACAGGUUAAAUUUCCUCGCAUUUUCUUAUUUGUUAUUUUUGUCAGCUUGUAACCAAGAAAAUAUCAAAGUCAACUCAAUGAAAUGACACAAUGCAGUGCAAUAUUUUAGAUUAGGCUUCCGGCCGAGAGACUUUGCCGGUUUUCUUGCCGCCGAAAUUCUACAGUGUCAGUGAGAGAAAGCAGAAGAAGACAGCUUUCACGUUUUUGGGAUCUUCCUCUUCAAAAGCUUCCCUUUCUCUGUUUUAUCUUGUUGUUAGUC